CCUACGGGUGGCAGCAGUGAGGAAUAUUGGUCAAUGGGCGCGAGCCUGAACCAGCCAAGUCGCGUGAGGGAUGACGGUCCUACGGAUUGUAAACCUCUUUUGCCGGGGAGCAAGCGUGCGUUCGUGAACGCGCGUCGAGAGUACCCGGAGAAAAAGCAUCGGCUAACUCCGUGCCAGCAGCCGCGGUAAUACGGAGGAUGCGAGCGUUAUCCGGAUUUAUUGGGUUUAAAGGGUGCGCAGGCGGAUUUUUAAGUCAGCGGUCAAAUCGUGGGGCUCAACCCCAUCCAGCCGUUGAAACUGGGGAUCUAGAGUGUGCGAGAGGUAUGCGGAAUGCGUGGUGUAGCGGUGAAAUGCAUAGAUAUCACGCAGAACCCCGAUUGCGAAGGCAGCAUACCGGUGCACAACUGACGCUCAGGCACGAAAGCGUGGGUAUCGAACAGGAUUAGAUACCCUAGUAGUC
Molecule: ribosomal RNA, 460 nt
Filed under: uncultured bacterium
Lineage: Bacteria
Description: partial 16S ribosomal RNA
Rfam family: Bacterial small subunit ribosomal RNA
Source: RNAcentral